GGGAAAAGCCCAAACCAGCAAGCUUGCUUGUUGGGGUUGUAGGACUCCAAUAUGGUAGUUCUUUCAGAUAGUCGAAUGACUUGGAAAAGUCAGUCAAAGAGGGUAAAAACCCCGUAGACGAAAUGUGGAAGACACCUAGGAGGAUCCUGAGUACGGCGGAACACGAGAAAUUCCGUCGGAAUCCGGGAGGACCAUCUCCCAAGGCUAAAUACUCCCUAGUGACCGAUAGUGAACCAGUACCGUGAGGGAAAGGUGAAAAGCACCCCGGAAGGGGAGUGAAAUAGAACCUGAAACCGUGUGCCUACAACAAGUCAAAGCCCGUUAAUGGGUGAUGGCGUGCCUUUUGUAGAAUGAACCGGCGAGUUACGAUUGCAUGCGAGGUUAAGUUGAAGAGACGGAGCCGCAGCGAAAGCGAGUCUGAAUAGGGCGUUUGAGUAUGUAGUCGUAGACCCGAAACCAUGUGAUCUACCCAUGUCCAGGUUGAAGGUGCGGUAAAACGCACUGGAGGACCGAACCCACGUACGUUGAAAAGUGCGGGGAUGAGGUGUGGGUAGCGGAGAAAUUCCAAACGAACUUGGAGAUAGCUGGUUCUCUCCGAAAUAGCUUUAGGGCUAGCCUCGGAAUUGAGAAUGAUGGAGGUAGAGCACUGUUUGGACUAGGGGCCCAUCUCGGGUUACCGAAUUCAGAUAAACUCCGAAUGCCAUUCAUUCAUAUCCGGGAGUCAGACUGUGAGUGAUAAGAUCCAUAGUCGAAAGGGAAACAGCCCAGACCACCAGCUAAGGUCCCAAAAUAUAUGUUAAGUGGAAAAGGAUGUGGGGUUGCACAGACAACUAGGAUGUUGGCUUAGAAGCAGCCAUCAUUUAAAGAGUGCGUAAUAGCUCACUAGUCGAGUGACCCUGCGCCGAAAAUGUACCGGGGCUAAACAUAUUACCGAAGCUGUGGAGUACACCUUUAGGUGUAUUGGUAGGAGAGCGUUCUAAGGGCGUUGAAGGCAGAUCGUGAGGACUGCUGGAGCGCUUAGAAGUGAGAAUGCCGGUAUGAGUAGCGAAAGACAGGUGAGAAUCCUGUCCACCGAAUGACUAAGGUUUCCUGGGGAAGGCUCGUCCGCCCAGGGUUAGUCGGGACCUAAGCCGAGGCCGACAGGCGUAGGCGAUGGAUAACAGGUUGAUAUUCCUGUACCCGUUGUUUUUGUUUGAGCAAUGGAGGGACGCAGGAGGCUAAGGAAUGCAGACGAUCGGAAAUGUCUGUCCAAGCAGUAAGUCUGAAGAGGAGUCAAAUGCUUCUUUUCUUAAGGACAAGCUGUGAUGGGGAGGGAAAUAAUAGUACCGAAGUUCCUGAUGUCACACUGCCGAGAAAAGCUUCUAGUGAGAAAACAGCGGCCCGUACCGCAAACCGACACAGGUAGUCGAGGAGAGAAUCCUAAGGUGAGCGAGAGAACUCUCGUUAAGGAACUCGGCAAAAUGACCCCGUAACUUCGGGAGAAGGGGUGCUGAUCAUACGAUCAGCCGCAGUGAAUAGGCCCAAGCGACUGUUUAUCAAAAACACAGGUCUCUGCAAAAUCGUAAGAUGAAGUAUAGGGGCUGACGCCUGCCCGGUGCUGGAAGGUUAAGAGGAGUGCUUAGCGCAAGCGAAGGUACGAAUUGAAGCCCCAGUAAACGGCGGCCGUAACUAUAACGGUCCUAAGGUAGCGAAAUUCCUUGUCGGGUAAGUUCCGACCCGCACGAAAGGCGUAACGAUUUGGGCACUGUCUCAACGAGAGACUCGGUGAAAUUUUAGUACCUGUGAAGAUGCAGGUUACCCGCGACAGGACGGAAAGACCCCAUGGAGCUUUACUGUAGUUUGAUAUUGAGUGUCUGUACCACAUGUACAGGAUAGGUAGGAGCCGUAGAAAUCGGAACGCUAGUUUCGAUGGAGGCGCUGGUGGGAUACUACCCCUGCGUUAUGGCCACUCUAACCCGCACCACUAAUCGUGGUGGGAGACAGUGUCAGAUGGGCAGUUUGACUGGGGCGGUCGCCUCCUAAAAGGUAACGGAGGCGCCCAAAGGUUCCCUCAGAAUGGUUGGAAAUCAUUCGAAGAGUGUAAAGGCAGAAGGGAGCUUGACUGCGAGACCAACAAGUCGAGCAGGGACGAAAGUCGGGCUUAGUGAUCCGGUGGUUCCGCAUGGAAGGGCCAUCGCUCAACGGAUAAAAGCUACCCUGGGGAUAACAGGCUUAUCUCCCCCAAGAGUCCACAUCGACGGGGAGGUUUGGCACCUCGAUGUCGGCUCGUCGCAUCCUGGGGCUGUAGUCGGUCCCAAGGGUUGGGCUGUUCGCCCAUUAAAGCGGCACGCGAGCUGGGUUCAGAACGUCGUGAGACAGUUCGGUCCCUAUCCGUCGCGGGCGUUGGAAAUUUGAGAGGAGCUGUCCUUAGUACGAGAGGACCGGGAUGGACUUACCGCUGGUGUACCAGUUGUUCUGCCAAGGGCAUUGCUGGGUAGCUAUGUAGGGAAGGGAUAAACGCUGAAAGCAUCUAAGUGUGAAGCCCACCUCAAGAUGAGAUUUCCCAUUUCUUUAAGAAAGUAAGAUCCCUGAGAGAUGAUCAGGUAGAUAGGUCAGGAGUGGAAGUACAGUGAUGUAUGGAGCGGACUGAUACUAAUCGAUCGAGGACUUAACCAA
This 2655-nucleotide ribosomal RNA is filed under the name Enterococcus faecium EnGen0040. RNAcentral describes it as "bacterial LSU rRNA". It matches the Rfam family "Bacterial large subunit ribosomal RNA". Lineage: Bacteria; Bacillati; Bacillota; Bacilli; Lactobacillales; Enterococcaceae. The record is from RNAcentral.